ACGGAAGGCAGCAGUGGGGAAUCUUGGGCAAUGGGGGCAACCCUGACCCAGCAACGCCGCGUGAAGGAAGAAGGCUUUCGGGUUGUAAACUUCUUUUACCAGGGACGAAGAAAGUGACGGUACCUGGAGAAUAAGCCACGGCUAACUACGUGCCAGCAGCCGCGGUAAUACGUAGGUGGUAAGCGUUGUCCGGAUUUACUGGGUGUAAAGGGCGCGUAGGCGGGAUAGCAAGUCAGGAGUGAAAUCCAUGGGCUUAACCCAUGAACUGCUUUUGAAACUGUUAUUCUUGAGUAUCGGAGAGGCAGGCGGAAUUCCUAGUGUAGCGGUGAAAUGCGUAGAUAUUAGGAGGAACACCAGUGGCGAAGGCGGCCUGCUGGACGACAACUGACGCUGAGGCGCGAAAGCGUGGGGAGCAAACAGGAUUAGAUACCCUGGUA
RNAcentral lists this ribosomal RNA (437 nucleotides) under uncultured Oscillospiraceae bacterium. Its description in RNAcentral is "bacterial SSU rRNA". It matches the Rfam family "Bacterial small subunit ribosomal RNA", at positions 341 to 792 of the family's 1533-position model. The record is from RNAcentral. Lineage: Bacteria; Bacillati; Bacillota; Clostridia; Eubacteriales; Oscillospiraceae.